CGGCGGACGGGUGAGUAACGCGUGGGUAACCUACCCUGUACACACGGAUAACAUACCGAAAGGUAUGCUAAUACGGGAUAAUAUAUUUGAGAGGCAUCUCUUGAAUAUCAAAGGUGAGCCAGUACAGGAUGGACCCGCGUCUGAUUGGCUAGUUGGUAAGGUAACGGCUUACCAAGGCGACGAUCAGUAGCCGACCUGAGAGGGUGAUCGGCCACAUUGGAACUGAGACACGGUCCAA
Molecule: ribosomal RNA, 238 nt
Filed under: uncultured bacterium
Lineage: Bacteria
Description: partial 16S ribosomal RNA
Rfam family: Bacterial small subunit ribosomal RNA
Source: RNAcentral